GUUAGUGGCGGACGGGUGAGUAACACGUGGGAACGUGCCUUUUGGUUCGGAAUAGCUCCUGGAAACGGGUGGUAAUGCCGAAUGUGCCCUUCGGGGGAAAGAUUUAUCGCCAUUAGAGCGGCCCGCGUCUGAUUAGCUAGUUGGUGAGGUAAAGGCUCACCAAGGCUACGAUCAGUAGCUGGUCUGAGAGGAUGACCAGCCACAUUGGGACUGAGACACGGCCCAAACUCCUACGGGAGGCAGCAGUGGGGAAUCUUGCGCAAUGGGCGAAAGCCUGACGCAGCCAUGCCGCGUGAAUGAUGAAGGUCUUAGGAUUGUAAAAUUCUUUCACCGGGGACGAUAAUGACGGUACCCGGAGAAGAAGCCCCGGCUAACUUCGUGCCAGCAGCCGCGGUAAUACGAAGGGGGCUAGCGUUGCUCGGAAUUACUGGGCGUAAAGGGAGCGUAGGCGG
Molecule: ribosomal RNA, 452 nt
Filed under: uncultured Brevundimonas sp.
Lineage: Bacteria; Pseudomonadati; Pseudomonadota; Alphaproteobacteria; Caulobacterales; Caulobacteraceae
Description: bacterial SSU rRNA
Rfam family: Bacterial small subunit ribosomal RNA
Source: RNAcentral